Molecule: microRNA precursor, 78 nt
Filed under: Calypte anna (Anna's hummingbird)
Lineage: Eukaryota; Metazoa; Chordata; Aves; Apodiformes; Trochilidae
Description: mir-456 microRNA precursor family
Rfam family: mir-456 microRNA precursor family
Source: Rfam by way of RNAcentral
GUGUGUGUAGGCUCACAUCUAUGUGAGCCUACAUGUGGAUUCCUAUAUCUGCAGGCUGGUUGGAUGGUUGUCAUGCAU